This 527-nucleotide long non-coding RNA is filed under the name Mustela putorius furo (domestic ferret). RNAcentral's name for it is "lncRNA (ENSMPUG00000030475.1)". Lineage: Eukaryota; Metazoa; Chordata; Mammalia; Carnivora; Mustelidae. The record is from RNAcentral.
UUGGUCUUCUGGUGAUAAGUCAGGAGGAAGAUCAUUUGCUUCUAGACUGCAGUUUACUGUGGGUAACUGAGACCAUGGAAAGCAAAACCAGGGGUUGGGGGGACAUGUUAUUAUAUCAUGAAUGGAAAAGUACAGGGUGUUAGAGUGGGAUGGGGAGACAUAGUAAGGGCUUCUAGGCCUUCUGUGCUGUUGACAAAAUGGCUUCCCAGAGAAGCCGUGUAUAAGGGAAAUUUUCAAGAAUGAGUAGGAAUUACCCACAGUGGAACAGUGCUCCAGACACAGGAAACAGAGUAUGCAGGAACUGGAGAUAAAAAAUCUAAAAUCACCAGUGGCCUUCUGGAUGCAAGCACACAGAGAAAAUCAAAUACAGGGGCGCCUGGGUGGCUCAGUGGGUUAAAGCCUCUGCUUUCAGCUCAGGUCAUGAUCCUGGGGUCCUGGGAUCGAGCCCCACAUCGGGCUCUCUGCUUGGUGGAGGGCCUGCUUCCCCCUCUCUCUCUGCCUGCCUCUCUGCCUACUUAUGAUCUCUG